RNAcentral lists this transfer RNA (84 nucleotides) under Candidatus Kaiserbacteria bacterium RIFCSPLOWO2_01_FULL_54_20. Its description in RNAcentral is "tRNA-Leu". It matches the Rfam family "tRNA". From Rfam's summary of the family: Transfer RNA (tRNA) molecules are approximately 80 nucleotides in length. Their secondary structure includes four short double-helical elements and three loops (D, anti-codon, and T loops). Further hydrogen bonds mediate the characteristic L-shaped molecular structure. tRNAs have two regions of fundamental functional importance: the anti-codon, which is responsible for specific mRNA codon recognition, and the 3' end, to which the tRNAs corresponding amino acid is attached (by aminoacyl-tRNA synthetases). tRNAs cope with the degeneracy of the genetic code in two manners: having more than one tRNA (with a specific anti-codon) for a particular amino acid; and 'wobble' base-pairing, i.e. permitting non-standard base-pairing at the 3rd anti-codon position. The record is from RNAcentral. Lineage: Bacteria; Candidatus Kaiseribacteriota.
GGGCAGGUGGUGAAAUAGAAUACACGCUAGGUUUAGGACCUAGUGCCGCAAGGCGUGAGGGUGCAAGUCCCUCCCUGCCCACAA